UCUUGGAGGUGUUCUCAACCGAGGAACAAAUGUUGGCCAAACGCGUGUUUCACUGGGACAAUAGUGAAUGGUGCACACUUGCUUCGCCAAGCCACAGAACAAAAAGUCACAUUUAAGAGUUGCUGGUGUAACAAUUGGAAGAACAUAUUUGACUCCUCUCUUCUACAUGCGGCUAAUGAGACGUCCAACAGAUGAACGGUCGUCAAGAAGAACAUCCCCUUCAGCAGCAGGGUGGGGCUUCUCUUUGAGGCAGGAGGAUCCACAGCCUCCCCACAUUAAAGAGGAAGAGGAGGAUCUCUGGGUUACUCAGGAGGGAGAGUGUCUUCCAGGGCAGGAGGAGGCUGAUCUCACCAAGUUUCCACUGACUGUUCUCUCUGUGAAGACUGAAGACCAUGAAGACAAACCACCUGAGUCCUCACACCUUCAUCACAGUCCAAGUGGACAGUCUUAGGUCUCUGCAGAUCUUCUCAUCAACACUGUCAAGGAGCUGGAUCUUUUUGGCUUCUACCGAGCCAGUCGGUUCACCUUGCCUCCCAGUCCCUUUUCCACCGAUGGAAGUCUCUUUUGGAGCUGUAGAAUCUGGACAACUGUGAAGAACAUCUUCUCCCUGAGCAACAGGAGUGGAGCUUCAGGAUGGGGAAGGAGGAGCCACAGCCCUCCCACAUUAAAGAAGAAGAAGAGGAGGAGCCACAGUCCUCCCACAUCAAAGAAGAAGAGGAGGAACACAGCAUCAGUCAGGAGGGAGAGCAUCUUGAACGGUUGGAGGAGUUCCCAGUGAUUGGUGUGAUUGUGAAGAGUGAAGAUGAUGAGGUCAAAAGUGAAAGUGAGGAGAAGAGAGAGGCGGAGCCUCCAAGCAGCAGCUCAACUCAACACAUGACAACAGAAGCUGAUGGAGACCACUGUGGAGGAUCUCAAGCAGACAAGAUCUUAGCUCCACUAUCAGAUAGUGAGGACACAACGUCUCACUCUCCUGACACUGAUGAAGAAGACUCUGAAGAUGAUAAGACAUGUCACACUGACAACACACACUUUACGUGUUCUCACUGUGACAAAACGUUUAAAUACUGUGGUAAUCUAAAAGUACACAUGAGAAUACACACUGGAGAAAAACCUUUUACCUGCUCAGAAUGUGGUAAAAGAUUUGCACGAAAAAAUGUGUUAAAAGUACACAUGAGAACACACACUGGAGAAAAACCUUUUACCUGUUCAACAUGUGGUAAAGAUUAUACUCAAAGGCAAUAUUUGAAAGUACACAUGAGAACACACACUGCAGACAAACCAUUCAUGUGCUCAGUUUGUAGCAAAAUAUUCUCUGUAAAAGCAAAUUUAGUAAUGCACUCAAGAAUACACACUGGUGAAAAGCCUUUUAUCUGUUCAGAAUGUGGUAAAGGUUUUAUACAAAGACAGCAUUUGAAAAGACACAUGAAAAUACACACUGGAGAGAAAGUGUAGAGUUGCAGUGUUUGUGGUGAAAGAUUAUCUUCUAAGUACCAGUGUAAGAAACACAAGUGUGCUGGUGAGAACAGCAGCAGCAAAUGAAGAUGCAGGAUUUGAAAUAAACUGUCAAAACUCA
This is an RNA transcript of Nerophis lumbriciformis (worm pipefish), 1573 nucleotides long. RefSeq lists it as uncharacterized. Lineage: Eukaryota; Metazoa; Chordata; Actinopteri; Syngnathiformes; Syngnathidae. The record is from RefSeq and is a predicted model, not a curated record.